ACAGAAUACCGUAUGGGAAGACACACAGAAGAAAACGAGAAGAAGACAAAGGCAUGCCGAGUUUCUGUAUAAACACAAAAGUUGGUGCAGGUAUGUUGCUUUAUUCAUUAAUAAAUAGAAUGUGUUUUUUAAUAUAAAUGAUUUUUGAUCCGGUAUGUAUGGUAAAAGGGUGAUAACAUAAUUUAAAAAAAAACAUUCAUUGACUGCAGCCACGAUUGACAGUGUUCGGGGCCCCCAGAGGGUGAUCAACCUCCUUUCCACUCUAGAUUUACCAAUAAUAAUCAAAGUACUGAAGAACUGACGGGAGUUGAUUUUGUCGAUGUUUAAUUAUUUUAAAAUUAAUGAUAUGUUAUUUUGCAUGACAAGUACAUGUAUACGUAGUUUCUAAUUUGAAUUACGCAUAUUUUUAUAAUAUGAAUUUUUGAACUUUUUCGACUAGAAUGUCGAGAAACCUCCAUAUGAAUCAUGUUAAAUAAUAUUUAAAGAUAAAAUUAAUUCAAUCAAACUAUGUAUCAGUGGUAGAAAUAUUUCUCGAAAAUUGUAUGGAUCCAAGCAAUAUUGAACUCUAGUCUCGUUCAACCAAACGCUCGGCUGACACCGUAAAUCUCCGACAAGGGUUUACGGAGACUGCCGAGCAUCGAGUUGAAAGAGACUAUAUUGAACUCUGGCGUAGGAAUACAUACGACUACAAAAACAUAUUUAAAUUGUUCGUACCAUUUAAAAUCUGACUAUUUUUAAGGUAUUUGUAAAUAAGUUUCCUUGAAAAACAAUGCUUUAGCACACAUUACAUCGCAUUCAUCAAUUAUUUUCAAGAACUAAGUCUUGUCAGGAGCAAUUAUGAUUUGUGCUGAGGUCCAAACACUGUUUCACUUUCGGUUUGUCCGAGUGACUGCAUAGGAGAGUUGAUUAAAAAUCAACUCCCAAAAAAGGAGUUUAAAAACAAUGGAGAGGAGAGCAGGCAAUAUAAUUGAGCAAUAUGCGGAGGAAAACAUGAAAAAAGAAAGCAAAAUGGCUUAUAAAAAAGACAUGUUGUAAGCAAUACUAUGUGUUACACAUGCAUACAUGAAUAUAAAUAUACCGGUAAAUGUACACACAUAUAAACACAAAUAAAUAUUUUUUUCAAAGUGUAAAUUUUAAGAGCAUGACUAAGAGAAAACCAUGCAAAGUGGUACAACUAUUAAUAUAAGUUUAAUUGACUCCACAUUUUGUGAACUAUAUGCACGUAUAUAUUUAUGAAUAGCUAUCUGAGUCUUAUACCUUUAAAAAAAAUACCUAUAUUUGUAACCUUUGUUUUUGUAGAGCUAUCUCACAGAGAGAAGAAGAAAAUUUUAUUGAGGAGUUUGCAGACUUGGGGGUAGCUGUCAUGCCUGAUGAAUUUGUUGGAGAUGUGUCCAGAUUGCGAGAAUCGAUUUGUCAAAAAAAUGAAAAUGGCAUUGAUGCUUUCUUUGAUCUCCUUGACCAAAGCCAUUGAAAGGUGGGACUUGCACAUGAUGAACAGGCAUCCACAUCACAGAAGCAGCAUCCAGUUGUGAAGAAAAAACUUUCCUUUGUUCCAAAGACUCGCCGAGGCAUGACAGUUUGCAGUGAUCAUGGGUGGCAGAAAAGAGGGUUUGACAGGCCAUACAUUCAUGAUGAGCAAAGAGAACAACAUUUUGAAGACUGUUGUGAAGUACCGCACUUGUGGAACAUGUAAGUGGUGGAGGAGAAAUAGACCAGGAGUACCUGUCAGGGAGCAUCGAUGUGUGUGGAAUCAUAAAGGAUCUGCGAGGGCGAUGUAGAGUGAAGCUGGCCUACAAGCAAUCAAAGAUAUGAUCCAACAAGGCUUUCGGUAAAAAUGGUCUCUCCCCGGGGUAUUUUAAUAUAAAGUUCUCCAACAAGAUGGAUGACGACAGAGUAAAGAAAAUGGAAAAGACAAGUCUGCCCGAAACAAAGCGCCGGCGACUUUUCCUAAAGCAGGAAAGAGCUAAUCAAAAAGAUGCAUCUGAAGUAUCGAAGGGGUCCACCUAUCAAUCAGUUUGACAAUUACUAAGUUUAAGAACAUGUGAACAUUUUAUUUUUUAUGAAAAACAGAUGAGAACAAUAUUUGCAUGUAUAUUUUUAAAAAUUGGCCUUGGGGCAGAGGCUGAUAUUGAAACAAUACUAGAUCCAGUUUCAAAACCAACAUUUGGAGCGGUUCAGAAACUGAAGAACACAAGACCAUUAUUCAUUAUAUUUGAUCUUGAAACUACUGGACUUAUCAGACAAGGAGCCAUGCCUCACAUUACACAGAUCGGUGCUGUGGAGAUGGAGUCUGGAGAAGCAUUCUCAACCUAUGUUCUACCAAAGAUUUUUAUAGAGCCAGGAGCUGAGCAGGCAACAGGGAUAGUUUACGAUGGAACCUCUGUAUUUGCCCAUGGAUUAAAUGUUGAUGUAGUUGCCAUACGUGAGGCGUUGUCAAAUUUCUUGAAGUGGCUUAGUACAUUAAGGAACUAUGAAGUAGUUCUUGUUGCUCACAAUGGCCGAUUAUUCGAUUUUCGUGUCCUUUCAAAUGCGGUUGUACGCACUGGCUUACAGAGGCAGUUUCUUGAUAAGGUGUCGUGAUUUACAGACUCAUUGUCUUUGAUUAGAUCAAAACACAGAUAUUUCUUGCUAAACAUUUUUGUAAUGAAUCUUAUUCUGCAUAUGAUGCACUGGAAGAUGUGAAAAUGCUUUAAAAAUAUUAUCAAAUGCUGUUUCAAAUUCUGAUUUAUGCAAAGCUACAAAUGAUUCCGAAGCCCAUUUUCUGCAAGAGAAGUCUAAUUCUGCAAAGUCUUUGUAUCUCCCAUCUUUGAAUGUCUUAGUGGGAAAUGGUGUUUUAAACAUGAGCAUGGCAGAGAACGUUGCAAGGUCUGGACUUGGCCUGAAUCAUUUAAAAAUUGUUCAUAGACGAGCAGGUGAAGAUGGUCUGCGAAAUGUUAUUUGUGCAAAAAAUGUUCACGGCAAACCAAGGGUAACAAAUAGCUGUAAAGUUUUAGACAGAGUAGUACCUAAGCUGUACAAGUUUUUCUCCCAAUAGAUAUGUAGAUUGUUACUGUAGUACUUGUAUAUGUAUUUUCUUGUACUCAGCCAGAUGUCUCAUUUUACUGCCAUGCAUAUAUGAAGUUAUUUUGCUGUUAUAUAAUAUAUAUAUCUUGCAAUAUUUUUAUGAAUUAUUUAAUUGAAAUUGCAUUAUAAUUCAUGUUUGCAUGGACUAUCAAAUGCAUUAGCUGUGUGUAGUCAUGGAGCGAAUUGAAUGU
This is a long non-coding RNA of Magallana angulata, 3254 nucleotides long. RefSeq lists it as uncharacterized. NCBI's taxonomy places the organism in Eukaryota, Metazoa, Mollusca, Bivalvia, Ostreida, Ostreidae. The record is from RefSeq and is a predicted model, not a curated record. The transcript has 6 exons.